CAGGAUGAACGCUGGCGGCGUGCCUAACACAUGCAAGUCGAACGGAGUUCUUAAGGAAUGCGACUUCGGUCAAAUGACUUUUGAACUUAGUGGCGGACGGGUGAGUAACGCGUGAGCAACCUGCCUUUCAGAGGGGGAUAACAUUUGGAAACAGAUGCUAAUACCGCAUAAGAUUACAGUACCGCAUGAUACAGUGAUCAAAGGAGCAAUCCGCUGAAAGAUGGGCUCGCGUCCGAUUAGAUAGUUGGUGAGGUAACGGCUCACCAAGUCGACGAUCGGUAGCCGGACUGAGAGGUUGAACGGCCACAUUGGGACUGAGACACGGCCCAGACUCCUACGGGAGGCAGCAGUGGGGAAUAUUGCACAAUGGGCGAAAGCCUGAUGCAGCAACGCCGCGUGAGGGAAGACGGUUUUCGGAUUGUAAACCUCUGUUUUCGGUGACGAACAAAUGACGGUAACCGAGUAGGAAGCCACGGCUAACUACGUGCCAGCAGCCGCGGUAAUACGUAGGUGGCAAGCGUUAUCCGGAAUUACUGGGUGUAAAGGGAGCGCAGGCGGGAUAGCAAGUCAGCUGUGAAAACUAUGGGCUCAACCCAUAAAUUGCAGUUGAAACUGUUAUUCUUGAGUGGAGUAGAGGCAAGCGGAAUUCCGAGUGUAGCGGUGAAAUGCGUAGAUAUUCGGAGGAACACCAGUGGCGAAGGCGGCUUGCUGGGCUCUAACUGACGCUGAGGCUCGAAAGUGUGGGGAGCAAACAGGAUUAGAUACCCUGGUAGUCCACACUGUAAACGA
Molecule: ribosomal RNA, 789 nt
Filed under: uncultured bacterium
Lineage: Bacteria
Description: bacterial SSU rRNA
Rfam family: Bacterial small subunit ribosomal RNA
Source: RNAcentral